CUAGACCAAAUAAAGACCUCAGACUCAGGCCUGCCAGCAGUUGAUUUCCAAAUGGGUGGAACUCUUAAAAGCCCCAUUUGUGACCGGGUACAGAGCAGUUGCCUCCUGGAGUCGUGUUCAGGGAAUUGGGAUUCCUUUGGUAACUGCCAUUGAAAUUGUCUCCAUCUGGAUCCUGUCCUUUAUCCUGGCCAUUCCUGAAGCGAUUGGCUUCGUCAUGGUACCCUUUGAAUAUAGGGGUGAACAGCAUAAAACCUGUAUGCUCAAUGCCACAUCAAAAUUCAUGGAGUUCUACCAAGAUGUAAAGGACUGGUGGCUCUUCGGGUUCUAUUUCUGUAUGCCCUUGGUGUGCACUGCGAUCUUCUACACCCUCAUGACUUGUGAGAUGUUGAACAGAAGGAAUGGCAGCUUGAGAAUUGCCCUCAGUGAACAUCUUAAGCAGCGUCGAGAAGUGGCAAAAACAGUUUUCUGCUUGGUUGUAAUUUUUGCUCUUUGCUGGUUCCCUCUUCAUUUAAGCCGUAUAUUGAAGAAAACCGUGUAUAACGAGAUGGACAAGAACCGAUGUGAAUUACUUAGUUUCUUGCUGCUCAUGGAUUACAUCGGUAUUAACUUGGCAACCAUGAAUUCAUGUAUAAACCCCAUAGCUCUGUAUUUUGUGAGCAAGAAAUUUAAAAAUUGUUUCCAGUCAUGCCUCUGCUGCUGCUGUUACCAGUCCAAAAGUCUGAUGACCUCGGUCCCCAUGAAUGGAACAAGCAUCCAGUGGAAGAACCACGAUCAAAACAACCACAACACAGACCGGAGCAGCCAUAAGGACAGCAUGAACUGACCACCCUUAGAAGCACUCCUCAGUACUCCCAUCAUCCUCUCGGAGAAAAAAAUCACACGGCAACUGUGACUCCGGGAAUCUCUUCUCUGAUCCUUCUUCCUUAAUUCACUCCCACACCCAAGAAGAAAUGCUUUCCAAAACCGCAAGGGUAGACUGUUUUAUCCACCCACAACAUUUACGAAUCCUACUUCUUUAAUUGAUCUAAUUUACAUAUUCUGCGUGUUGUAUUCAGCACUAAAAAAUGGUGGGAGCUGGGGAAGAAUGAAGACUGUUAAAUGAAACCAGAAGGAUAUUUACUACUUUUGCAUGAAAAUAGAGCUUUCAAGUACAUGGCUAGCUUUUAUGGUAGUUCUGGUGAAUGUUCAAUGGGAACUGAUCACCAUGAAACUUUAGAGAUUAUGACAAGAUUUUCUACUUUUUUUAAAUGAUUUUUUUGUUCUUCAGCCAAACACAAUAUAGGCUCAAGUCACUUUUAUUUGAAAUGUCAUUUGGUGCCAGUAUUUUUUUAACUGCAUAAUAGCCUAACAUGAUUAUUUGAACUUAUUUACACGUAGUUUGAAAAAAAAAAAGACGAAAAUAGUAUUCAGGUGAGCAAUUAGGUUAGUAUUUUCCACGUCAGUGUUUAUUUUUUUAAAACACAAAUUCUAAAGCUACAACAAAUACUACAGGCCCUUAAAGCACAGUCUGAUGACACAUUUGGCAGUUUAAUAGAUGUUACUCAAAGAAUUUUUUAAAAACUGUAUUUUCUUUUUUAAAUGGUGUUUUAUUACAAGGGAUCUUGAACAUGUUUUGUAUGUUAAAUUCAAAAGUAAUGCUUCAAUCAGAUAGUUCUUUUUCACAAGUUCAGUCUGUUUUUCAUGUAAAUUUUGUAUGAAAAAUCAAUGUCAAGUACCAAAAUGUUAAUGCAUGUGUCAUUUAACUCUGCCUCAGACUUUCAGUGCACUGUGUAUAGAAGUCUAAAGCGUGUACACCUAAGAGGAAAAGAUCAAAUUUUUCAGAUGAUUUGGAAAUUUUCAUUCAGGUAUUUGUAAUAGUGACAUAUACAUGUAUAUACAUAUCACCUCCUAUUCUCUUAAUUUUUCUUAAAAUGUUAACUGGCAGUAAGUCUUUUUUGAUCAUUCCCUUUUCCAUAUAGGAAACAUAAUUUUGAAGUGGCCGGAUGAGUUUAUCAUGUCGGUGAAAAAUAAUUACCCACAAAUGCCACCAGAACUUACGAUUCUUCACUGCUCGGGGUUUUCAGUAUGAACCUAAAUCCCUACCCCAACAUCUCCCUCCCACAUUGUCACCAUUUUAAAGGGCCCACAGUGACUUUUGCCGGGCAUUUUCCCAGAUGUUUACAGACUGUGAGUACAGCAGAAAAUCUUUUA
This 2190-nucleotide small RNA is filed under the name Pongo abelii (Sumatran orangutan). RNAcentral describes it as "processed transcript". Lineage: Eukaryota; Metazoa; Chordata; Mammalia; Primates; Hominidae. The record is from RNAcentral.